This 1493-nucleotide ribosomal RNA is filed under the name uncultured Marinimicrobium sp. RNAcentral describes it as "bacterial SSU rRNA". It matches the Rfam family "Bacterial small subunit ribosomal RNA". Lineage: Bacteria; Pseudomonadati; Pseudomonadota; Gammaproteobacteria; Cellvibrionales; Cellvibrionaceae. The record is from RNAcentral.
AGAGUUUGAUCCUGGCUCAGAUUGAACGCUGGCGGCAGGCCUAACACAUGCAAGUCGAGCGAGAAAUCUCCUUCGGGAGAGAGUAGAGCGGCGGACGGGUGAGUAACGCGUGGGAAUCUGCCCAGUAGCGGGGGAUAGCCCGGGGAAACUCGGAUUAAUACCGCAUACGCCCUACGGGGGAAAGCAGGGGAUCUUCGGACCUUGCGCUAUUGGAUGAGCCCGCGUCAGAUUAGCUUGUUGGUGGGGUAACGGCCUACCAAGGCGACGAUCUGUAGCUGGUCUGAGAGGAUGAUCAGCCACACUGGGACUGAGACACGGCCCAGACUCCUACGGGAGGCAGCAGUGGGGAAUAUUGGACAAUGGGGGCAACCCUGAUCCAGCCAUGCCGCGUGUGUGAAGAAGGCUUUCGGGUUGUAAAGCACUUUCAGCGAGGAGGAAAGCCUGAUGGUUAACACCCAUCGGGGGUGACGUUACUCGCAGAAGAAGCACCGGCUAACUCCGUGCCAGCAGCCGCGGUAAUACGGAGGGUGCAAGCGUUAAUCGGAAUUACUGGGCGUAAAGCGCACGUAGGCGGCGGAUUAAGCUAGCUGUGAAAGCCCAGGGCUUAACCUUGGAACUGCAGUUAGAACUGGUUCGCUAGAGUACGGUAGAGGAGUGUGGAAUUUCCUGUGUAGCGGUGAAAUGCGUAGAUAUAGGAAGGAACAUCAGUGGCGAAAGCGACACUCUGGACUGAUACUGACGCUGAGGUGCGAAAGCGUGGGGAGCAAACAGGAUUAGAUACCCUGGUAGUCACGCCGUAAACGAUGUCUACUAGCCGUUGGGGCCCUUGAGGCUUUAGUGGCGCAGCUAACGCACUAAGUAGACCGCCUGGGGAGUACGGCCGCAAGGUUAAAACUCAAAUGAAUUGACGGGGGCCCGCACAAGCGGUGGAGCAUGUGGUUUAAUUCGACGCAACGCGAAGAACCUUACCAGGCCUUGACAUCCUGCGAACUUUCUAGAGAUAGAUUGGUGCCUUCGGGAGCGCAGUGACAGGUGCUGCAUGGCCGUCGUCAGCUCGUGUCGUGAGAUGUUGGGUUAAGUCCCGUAACGAGCGCAACCCCUGUCCUUAGUUGCCAGCGAUUCGGUCGGGAACUCUAAGGAGACUGCCGGUGACAAACCGGAGGAAGGUGGGGAUGACGUCAGGUCAUCAUGGCCCUUACGGCCUGGGCUACACACGUGCUACAAUGGGCGGUACAAAGGGUUGCCAAUCCGCGAGGUGGAGCUAAUCCCGAAAAACCGUUCGUAGUCCGGAUUGGAGUCUGCAACUCGACUCCAUGAAGUCGGAAUCGCUAGUAAUCGUAAAUCAGAAUGUUACGGUGAAUACGUUCCCGGGCCUUGUACACACCGCCCGUCACACCAUGGGAGUGGGUUGCACCAGAAGUGGCUAGUCUAACUUCGGAGGACGGUCACCACGGUGUGAUUCAUGACUGGGGUGAAGUCGUAACAAGGUAACC